GUGGACGAUCAAAGACAGUGCACUUCACGUUAGGAAAUGCAUGACAGAUAGCCUUGGCUGUGUUUCCGGUUCCACCUCCGACAUCCACAAUGGUCUCCACUCCUUCGAACACCCAUUUGCAACCUCUUAAUGCCAGGUUCAUCAUCUGAGAAUCACUAGCCAUUGCCUCAUUGAACGACUCGUUCAUUGCUGGGUUUUUACUAAGAAUGUCCCACAAAUUUGAUCCAACGGAGACAUCAAACAAUGUAAGAUCAUCCUCAUAAGUCCACUUUUUCAAGUGAGACCACGUAUAUGAUAAAGUUGGAUUAGUUAUAUACUCAACCAUUGGUGCAAGACAAAAGUCAGUGCCUUUGACAAGAAGCUGUGAUGCAGGUGUUAGAGAAAACGCUUCGCUUUCUUCUGUGCUGUGAUGGACUCUUACGAUAUGAAGGAAUCCAUUGUGUGCCAGGUAGCGUAGGAGACUCUUCACUCCUCUAACUUUAGUUGGCGGAAUUUGUAGAAUGGAAACCAACUUUGGAAGUGAAAUGGGUUGACAAUGGUUGUGGAUGAUGUCUGGUAUGCCAAGCUCAAUCAUCCAUUUAAUACUCAUACAAUCUAUCGUAUGGGCAUACAAGUGUUUGUACAAGUGAGCUUGACCUUCAAAGAUCUCACUCGCCUUUAGGACAUUAUUUGAAGCCAUAAUUUGAUGUGAAUCUGUAUUUUGUGUGGUGUUUCGGACUUUCUCGCCCUAUUUAUAAAGAUUCAAAAGCCUAAAUUUGUAUUUCCGCCUUUAGUGUAUUCGGACAUGGUAAGUUGAAUUGAUUAUUUUCAGAAGUCGUUGUUUGUUUCAUUAUGACAUAGAUAGAUACUUUCACCAGGGAAACGACAAAAAAACAUUUUUGGGACAUAAUAAUAAUAUUUUGAUUAUAUUUAUAUUAUUUUUUAAUUUAAAAUCAUAAUUAUAUUAUUAUAAAUCGGGUCAAAUGAAUGUUUUUUUAAGCCUUCUCAAACUAACUUUUUCCUUCAUUAAAUUGUAAGAUAUCUAUGUAUUUUCAGAAAUAAAAUAUGGAAAAUGAUAUUUUGACAUCAAUUUUUGACACUAUUUUGACAUUGUAUACGUGUCUAAACGUGGUUGGACGAUUUUAAAUUAAAAAAAACUGAGACAAGGACAUAUUUGUAAGAAAAAAACCAAAGUUUUUUUUUUAAUUUAAAAUCGUCCCAUCACAUUUUGACAUGUGUGCAGUGUCAAAAUGAUGUCAAAAAAUUGGUGUCAAAAUAUCAUUUUCCAUAAAAUAUACCCUAGUUUUCUAGUAUUACGUGCCACUCUCUCCUUCCCCUUUUUUUUUAAAAUAAUUAAAAAGAGUAUUAAUUAGUUAAAUAACACAUGUUAACCUUCAUUUCACAUGACAGUAAAAUAAUUAUAAAAAAUAAUUUUUUGUAUUUAUAGAAGAAAAAAAUAAUAAAAGCAUCAAAGGAUAUAUAUAUAUAUAUAUAUAUAUAUAUAUAUAUAUAUAUAUAUAUAUAUAUAUAUAUAUAUAUAUAUUAUUACUUUAAUUAAAAAGCCGACAAUUCAAUCUUUUUCAAUUACAUAGCUCUUGAAAUAACAAAAGUACUCUUUAACAAAAAAAAAUAGUAAUUAAUGUCUUUUCGUUACUAAAAAACUUAUUGUAUACUUGAAUUUAUACUUUACUUAUGUUAUAUUUUAUUCGCUUUUUUAAUUGUCCAUUUUACAAUAAUGACGUUAGUCAAAAUAAAAAUUUCAAUAAACUUAGGAAACAUGCGAUAAUAAAUUAUAAAGAUCUGUCACUGUGUAUAGACAUAUGGAGAAUGAAAAACACAAAUCGAAUAAGCACUAUUAUUUUAUGUACAAUGAUGGAGAAAUAAACGGAAUAAUAAAAAUCCACUUGGUUUCAUAUAUAUAUAUAUAUAUAUAUAUAUAUAUAUAUAUUACAGUUCAAAAUCGUUAGAUUGAAGAAAAAAAAUAUACACCGAAAAUAUACAAGAAAAAAAAAACGAGAUUGCACAAAAAAUUAUCUAUAAAUUUAUAAGAAGAUUAUGGAGAAAAUUGGAUAGAUAGAUUUAUAAGAUAUAAAUAGAUAAAAAAAAUCAUUUUGCAUACCAAUUUUGUAGAAUUAAAUAAAAUAAGUUAAACUUAAAAUCUAUUUCUUUUAAAAAUGUUGUAUAUUUAUUUUACUUGAUACAAUUUUAUGGUAAAAGUUAUUUAUUUUAUAAUAAUAUUGAAUUGAGUGAAAAUGAAAUUAAGCAUUUUAUAUAUGUGUAUUUAUUAUAGGCUUGUAAAAUGUUUAGUGCUUUAAACUCAAUACAAACAAAAUUAGAGAAGAUAUGAGCUAAUAUAGCCGGUUUAGGUCAACUUCUGGUCUCUCUAUGUUUAUAACUUCAUCGACAUAUUAGGAAUCUGAUUUAAAACAUUGCAUCUGUGUAUCGUACCAUUUAGGGUAGUAAAAUAAUUAAUAAUGAAGUAUUUUAUUGGAAGUCAGAUUAGACCGUUUCAAGGUUUUGUAGCCGUCGUUAAACAAAUAAACACACAAAACAAAAACCAUUAAUAAAUUAUAUUUUUUAACUUUGAAAUCCGUUUUCCUGACCCUCAUCACAUGCUAGUGAAUUUGACUUUUCAUAUAAUAACUCCUAUUUUCUCGGAUAUUCAUCACCGUCACUAAUAUAACAAUAAGCACAUAAUUUAAUAUAAUUAUAUCUAUAAUUAUAAAAGAAAUUAUAUAUAUAUAUAUAUAUAUAUAUAUAUAUAUUGUUUUCAAUUUUUUAAGUUUUUGAACUCGUGAACAUAAUUAAAUUUAUUUUCAAUAUAAAUAAUUAUAUUUUCGGUAAGAAAAUUAUCUUUUAAUUUAGGUUUAAUUGGUUUUUUGUUUUUAAUUUUGUUACAAUGUGUCAAAUUGAUUUAACUUUUAAAAAAAGUUUCAAUUUUGUCUAUAUUUAAUAUAAUUUAUCUUAAAUACAUAUAAACAACGUUAUUUUAAGUUGAAAUAGAAUUUUUUUUUCUCGCCCCGGCCUUUAUGCCACUCUAUUUAUUUGUCAGAUGCUAUUGUUUAUGUAUGUCUUUUCUUAUUAAAAUACUCUACACACCUGUCAACCAAGAAUAUAUUCUCAUAUUUAAGACAAGGAAAAUAUACUUAUUUUCCAAUCGAAUUUUGAUAAUAUACAUAUUUAAGACAAGGAAAACUAAUUUAUAUUAAUAUUUUAAUUUUCGUAAAUCCUGGAUCCACACUUUUGAGUUGUCAGUUAUUCUUCAAGUUCUAGAAUAUACAUAUAUCGUUUUUGACCUACCACAUUCAUAUAUUUUUUAAUUUAAUUUAUUUUUAAUUUACAUCUAAUUUCCGUUAGUUUUAUUUUAAUUUACUUUUUUUUUUCGAGUUUAAAUACUUAAGAAACAGUGAACAUUCUGUAUUACAUGUCAUUGCUAAUGAUAUAUUUAUACUACGGUAUGUAUUACAUGUCAUGUUACUUCAGUAAAUUCUAAAUCUUAAAUUCUUAAUUUUAAACUUUAAAUUAUAUUUUAUAAAUCUAAACCUUAAAUACUAAUACAUAAAUAUUUUUUAAAUAUAAAAUUUCGGAAUACUACGUGACAUAUAUCUCACAGUAAAUUAUUUAAAUGAUGCAAUAAAAAAUAUUAAAUUGACCAAAAUUAAAACUAAAUUAAAAAUAAAUAUUAAAAUUGAUUUAAACAUGUUUAACAAAAAGAAAAAAAUUAAUAUUUAAGUCUUUCCAUUUAUUAUAUACUUAAAAUAUCAUUAAUUUCUUAAAAAGGAAAUUAUACAAUAUAAAAUUUAUUUAAAUCAAAUAUAAAACAAUACAACAAUGAUAAUAUGCGUAACUGAAAAAAAAACAAAAGAACUGAUUAUUUUAGAUAAAAAUGUUAUUUUUGGAUACACCAUUUUUACUUUUUAUUUUCCUAAAUUUGAGUUUCUUCACUUCUUUUACCUUAAAACUUUAUUUAUUCCAUUUAAGGAUAAAUAAUGUUAUUUUAAUUUUUUCAAUUAUUUGAUUAACAAAUUAAAAUUUGAAUAUGAAAAUUUUUUCAUUUUGCUUCAAAAUAAAAUAAAAAUCACAUGUUAAAUUUAAUAAUAAAAAUUAUUUACAAUAAGUUAAAAAAAAAGCAAAAAGAGUUUAAAACAAAUUAAAAUAGUAUACUAAAUGUGACACCCCAAUUAUAUUAUAAAGAUAUAUAAUAUAAUAAUAAAGGCGUCACCAUGAAUAAUAUUAGAAAGCAGUUAAGAGUAAUAGGAUUACAGUCAUCCUUAAACAGUAAAAUUUGGAAACUUUGAGUACUAGAGUUUCUCCCCUCUAAUACAGAGAAUUUAAAACUUAGAACAUGACAAAGUUUCUUCAAAAUAUCCUAGGAUAAGAUAAUUAAAGCCUAGAGAACUAGGCAACAACAUUUCCUUCUCCAUCAAGAGCUGUUUCCAAAGUAUCUCCUCGUCAUCUGCUCCCAUCCAAGUGGAUGAUCAUCGUAAGGGAAACAAACGCAAACAUGGCACAAACACAAGCAAUUGCAAGGAUGAGCUAAUUAUAUAAAAAUAAUACAAUUAAGAGCAUGUACACACAAGAUAUUAAUUUAAAGCAAACAAGAUAAAACAUUCAUCCUAUCAUGUUAAAUACUAGACUUGACUCGUCCGGACUUUAGCAUGAUAGUCGAGCUAUGGCGGGUCAUGCACCCAUGGUGGCUUGUGAUACUUAGGCUCCACCGCCUUGGGCUCCCCCGCCCUGGGCUCCACCGCCCUGCCAAAUUCACGAGGUUGGUCUGCUCCGCGUCCUAGAGCAUGAUGGAAGCCUCCAAGACUAAGACAUCCUGCUACUCUUUAACACAUGGUUCAGUCCUCUCUACGUGAGAAGAAAGACCAUUGGAGCGUCAGUAAGACCCCCAAGACUGAGCUCCUACUUUCAUUCUAAAACACUAAGAAUCUCACUAAGAGAUUCUACACAGAUGGAACUUGAUUUACCACUUGGACUGUACUUUUAUCACUUUGUAAUCAUAUACUUUUUGUCUCAAUCAACAUAUAUACAUUACUCACCAAUCACAAGUUAUAAAAAUAACAUCUCCAUAAUUGAAUUUAAGUUAAUCAAUACCAAGAACCAAACAGUUCCAACUAACUCAUAACAGCUCAUAAAAUGCAUCAAUUUAUACAUACCUACAAGUAACAUAAUUAUUAGUUAACACUCACCUUUCAAUAUAAAAAACAACUAUCCUUACUUUAUAUAUAAAUAUCUAUUUUAUAUUAAUAUAAUAUAUACCAUACGUACUAUAUCCUUGUAAAUAUAUAUAUAUUUAUAUUAUAUUAAACUAAUAUAUAUAUAUAUAUAUAUAUAUAUAUAUAUAUAUAUAUAUAUAUAUAUAUAUAUAUAUAUAUAUAUAUAUAUAUAUGGAUCCUUAUUUUAAAUUCCAAACACAUAAAGACUAACUUCCUAAAAUUAUAACUGAAUUAACACAUGAUAUCUUUAUGCAUCUACAAUAAACUUGUUUUAUUUUAUUUUCAUCAUAGUAGAGAUCUUACUUUCCCUCAAUUGGUCACCGGAGAGGACCCAAAUGUUUGAACGCAACAAACUCACCUUCGACGCCAGCACAUAUGACUAGUCACAACUGACUGGACCAGGCUAGGGCUGCUUUAUGAUCAAGGAUGUGCCAACUCAGGUUUUUAAGGUUCCUCUAUCCUACCAACAAAGAAAGGCUCUCAACAAUUAACAAUUAAUUUAUUUAAAUUAUCUACCAUGUUCUCUCAUGCUCUCUAAAUCUGAAAUGCCUAAUUUUAAUAUUUCACUUCCUCUCACAGCAACCUUAAAAGUACUUGUACACCUAUUUAAUACCCAUAUACAUGCUAUCAUAGAGCCCUUACUCCACACCCUCCAACCAAAUCCAUUUCAACCAAAACAGAUUAAUUUCAACACAAACAUUUACAAACAUAAAUUUCCACAUGUACCAGUUUAACACCAAAGCACAAAUUAUUUAAGCAUAAUUUCACAGUCUUAGUUAUAACAUCCAAUAAAAUUUAAAAUCAUAGAACAACUUCACAAGAACACACCAGUUCAAUAUUCAACAUGCAUAUAUUUUUAUAAAUUAAAUUCAUACAAAAUAAUUAGCUCCUCUUAUCUGGAAACACGCAACAAUACAACUAGCAAUAUAUGCCCUAAUAGUAACCUCCGUAUAGAAAAUGGUUCAUAGGACCUACAACCACCAAUUUGAUGUAGAGUGCAGCUCUUAAAGCUAGAACAUAACAGAAAUCAAAAAGAGGAAGGUUCUAACUACAUAAAAUCAGUAGAACCCCUAGCCCUAAGUUUCGAAAACAACGGAGAAAAGUGAAAAACUACUUACCGGUGAAAAUCGAAAAAUCAAUCGGAUGGUUUUGAAACUCUCGACGCCGCGGUCACUUGAACACCUGCUAAUCAAACAUGCAAUGGAACAAUUUGUGUGGAGGCUAAAGACAGAGAGAAUAAGAAAGAGCUUUCUAGAGAGAGAUAAACAUUCUAAGAAAAUGAGUUCUGCUUCUUAGAAAAUACAACGGCAACACAAGAACCUGUUUCCCUUUUUGACCAAAAAAUCCCUCUCUUUUCACUUAAUUUCGUUUUUAUCCUCAUUUUCUUUUAAUAUAAUUAUAUAUAUAAUCAGGUCUUUACACUAAAUAAACAUAAUUCUUUUAAAAUAAUAAAGUAAAAAGUACAAACAAUUUUUUAUCACUUUAUCUAUUUCUUUUACUUGCUUUUCAACAAUUUUUUUUUAUAAAUAGCCUACAAUUCUUUUGCAAGGUUAAAUUCAUGUAAGAGAGGAUCUGCUGCGUUGUGUAGGGAGAGGAAAAAAAGAAUUUAACCGCUUCGGCGGCAGAGGAUUUGAUUGAAAUAAAUUAUACCAAAUGUGGACAUUAAAACUUUUUCAAAAAAUUAGACCUUGACAAGUUGUAGUAAAAUUAGAGACAAUAAAUUAUUAAAUCUUAUUUUACUUUUUAAUCUUGUUUUAAUAAUUUUUAUUGUAGAUAUUGAUAUUUUUAUUGUAGCCUUAAAAAAAAUAAAAGUUAAAUAAGACUAAUUAUAUUAUUAAUAAAGUAAAAUGAACUUAAUUUCUCUAUUCUUAUAAAAAAAAAUGACAUAACUGCGGAGAUUUUGAAAAACCGUCAUUAUUUGCCGGCGUUUUCAGAUUCGUGAGGACUUACUAGGUUCUCUAAAAUCGUCCCUAGCUGCUUGGAUUACAAAAUAAGGAUUUACAAAACCUUCAGGAGUAAAAUCUUUGAACUUUUUCUUUUUUAUAUUACUGAAAUUAAUGUAUAAUCAUAAACAAUGCUUUAAUAAUAAACCACAGAAUCAAAUAAUUUGAAACCAAAUUUAAAUACUAUCAUGUAAAGUAAACUCUAAACAUUAGAAAUACAGUUUAAAUUUUCUCAACACAAGUAAUAAACAAUGUUCAAUCCUAAAAAUUUUAAAAACAUAUUGUCAAUAACAUUCAUUUUGUUAUCCUCAUCCAUUUGUAUGUUUCCUUUAUUAGAUGCUUCCAAUAAAAAAAUAUUAAUUAGUUAGUAAUACAUUAAAAAAAUAGACGAAUUUAAGAGUUAUUUAUAUGGUUAAAAAAUGUUAAAAUGUGAAGACAAAUGAUCAUGAUAAUUUUGAAUCAUUAGUGUCAUCAUUGUUUUUAUUUUAUUGAUUUGUGAUGUGAAUUGAAAUGAAAAAAAAUUAUUUGAAAAGUAAGAAAUUUUUAGCCAAAUUAUUAAUAAUAAUAAGUAAAUAUUGAUAAAAUAUUUAUUAAUUUGAAAUUGUAAUUUUAAAUAAGAAAGAGAAGUUGAAGAUAAUUCAUUGUGACAAUGACCGUUCAUUCCAAAGAUUUUAGGUGGGUAGGCAUCCAAAACUACAUUGCAAACAUAUUCACAAUGUUGUUGAGUUUCUAAAGCAAGAAUUAAUGAAUGUGAACUUGAAAUUUCUUUUGAUUGAAAUGAUGAUGUUCCUGUGGAUUCAUAUGAUUUAAUUUUUCUUAUAUACAAUUUUUAAUAAAAAGGUGGUGAUACAGAAAUACAACAAAUAGAUACCAAGCAUUGCAUCAAAUAUGAUGAAGAUGAGAAUAGCAAUAAAGUAAAAAGAAAUGAAUUGUGGUACUAAAUAAAAAAUGACCUCAGAAAAAAAAUAUAUGUUAAGUGCAUGCAUGGAAAUAAAUUGUGGUGUCUUAAUAUUAUUUACUACCUGUAAUAUUUUGUUCCUUUCAUCGAAAGUAUGGACUCUUACUUCUACAUGAUUGAAACUCCACCCCCUGUAACGAAUGCAUGCACAAAAACAACUAUUAUUACUACAUCUACAUAAGAACUCUGCGAGAUGGCUUAGCAUACAUAUGCAAAUAUGUCAGAAAGCUCAUGUCACUAUUAUAUGUUCAGUGAAAUCAUAUAUGCAACCUUUCUCCCAAGCUAAUGUUCAGAUACUAUUGUAGCUUUCAGUUAGGUCUUUCUUUGCGUGCUUAUUCUUUUAAGACAUUCUAAUUGAAAUGAUAAUAGUUAUAACUCAAGCAACAAAAUACAACUCAUGUAAUAACUACCCAAUCAUAUUAAGUUUACAGUCAACAGAAGUUUAUGUUUUGUAACAUUAAUAUAAAAAUGUAAACAGACUGAUAAAAAAAGACAUAGGAGUGUUUGGUUAGAAUUGAACCCUAACUCUUAGUGAAUGGUUUGAGGCUCUUGUGUACCAAUAGGGUCUUACAUCUUAGUGAAUCCUAACUCAUAAUCUUCCAUUUAUAAAAUUGCUUCUAUUGUGGUUUUAGAAGACUUACAUAUAUGUUAUAUAUCCUUUCUGAAUGACUGUUUCUCGAUAGAUAAAUUUGUUUCUGUCUUUCCCUUCCAGGUUCUCUAACCAAUAUGAAGUUUUAUGUGCUAUUCUAUAUAUUUAUACACUCAUAAAAAUCUGAUGUGAAGGGACCGACCAUGGCAUUUCCUAAUCUGACCAAUUUGAAUCUUUUGCAAAGACUGUAAGUUGAAAACAUCAUUGCUCUUACGUGAAGAGCUAUAUAAUUCAUUCAGGCUUUUAAUCUUCAACCUUCCAACACAGAAACUCUAACAACCACACACCUCCACCAUAUAGCACCAACAACGCGCCACUAUGAAACACCUGUAUGUACAGUUCAGAAAUCAAGAUGCAUUUUCCUAAAUAAAUUCCUAAACCGUAAAUCCCUAAAUCAUAAAUCUUUAAAUCGUAAAUUUCUAAAUUGUUACUUCAUAAACAACAUAGAAUCAUAAAUCAAGAUGUAGUUCUCAUGUUUUCUUUUAUUUCCCACAUAAUAAAAAAUAAAACCAAACAUUCCGUCCAAACAACCAAAAACCAAUAACAGAGCACACAUUCAUUAUAUUUAUUUUCAAAACAAAAUAACUCAAAUGCAAUUCUACUAAAUUUGAGCUGCAAACUCAAAGUGUAGAAAGAAAGUGAACAUAAAAGCCAUAAAUUAAAGACAAAUGAGAUAUGAAAGGUGAGAGGAAAGAAAGGGAAAGUGGAAGUUUGAAAACCUAGUAUGGGUGCAAUGUGUACAGCAGAAAGGAAAAGUGAAAGUUUGAAACCUUAAUAUGAACCAACCACAUAGGCAAAAAACAAACACUUCCUUUUCUGAUUGCUCCCUUAGACAUUGUUUUGUUAAUGAUUUAGACACUGUCGAAAAAAAAAUCAAAUUAAAUAAAAAUUAUAAAAAUUACAAAAUCACGUUAAACACUAAAAAAAGUCAAGUCUCACAUUAAAUAAAUUAAACAAAAAUAAGGACAAAAAAUUGAACACUUUAUGUUUUACUAUUUAUUAAUAUUAAAUCAUAUGUUUUAUAAAAGAAUUAAAAAUCUUCCUAUUUUAAUUUUUUUUUAUAGAUUUCGUUGCAUAAACACAAAAUAAAAAAUAAAAAUGAGAGGAUAAGAUAUCCUCUCAUCCCAUAUUUCUCCGCCACUAAAACUUGAGAAAUGGUACCCAUCUCAAUGUGGUGUGAGGUUGAAAAUUUAAUUGAUUGUUUCAAUUGAUUUGUUCAAUAACAUGCUUUGAAAGAAAUGCAUCGGACAUAACUUUACUAAUAAAGGAUAGAUCUAAUGAUGAGACAAACAUCCUCUGAAAGGAGAUAUUUUGUAGCAAACAUCCAUGUCCUUUAUUAAUAAAGAAAACACUUUCACACAUUCCAUCAAAUUUCAUAUUUCUGAGUCUCGCUUCAUAUCAAUUCUUCUUUUUAUUCUGGUCGCAUUUUCUUACAUAUNNNNNNNNNNNNNNNNNNNNNNNNNNNNNNNNNNNNNNNNNNNNNNNNNNNNNNNNNNNNNNNNNNNNNNNNNNNNNNNNNNNNNNNNNNNNNNNNNNNNNNNNNNNNNNNNNNNNNNNNNNNNNNNNNNNNNNNNNNNNNNNNNNNNNNNNNNNNNNNNNNNNNNNNNNNNNNNNNNNNNNNNNNNNNNNNNNNNNNNNNNNNNNNNNNNNNNNNNNNNNNNNNNNNNNNNNNNNNNNNNNNNNNNNNNNNNNNNNNNNNNNNNNNNNNNNNNNNNNNNNNNNNNNNNNNNNNNNNNNNNNNNNNNNNNNNNNNNNNNNNNNNNNNNNNNNNNNNNNNNNNNNNNNNNNNNNNNNNNNNNNNNNNNNNNNNNNNNNNNNNNNNNNNNNNNNNNNNNNNNNNNNNNNNNNNNNNNNNNNNNNNNNNNNNNNNNNNNNNNNNNNNNNNNNNNNNNNNNNNNNNNNNNNNNNNNNNNNNNNNNNNNNNNNNNNNNNNNNNNNNNNNNNNNNNNNNNNNNNNNNNNNNNNNNNNNNNNNNNNNNNNNNNNNNNNNNNNNNNNNNNNNNNNNNNNNNNNNNNNNNNNNNNNNNNNNNNNNNNNNNNNNNNNNNNNNNNNNNNNNNNNNNNNNNNNNNNNNNNNNNNNNNNNNNNNNNNNNNNNNNNNNNNNNNNNNNNNNNNNNNNNNNNNNNNNNNNNNNNNNNNNNNNNNNNNNNNNNNNNNNNNNNNNNNNNNNNNNNNNNNNNNNNNNNNNNNNNNNNNNNNNNNNNNNNNNNNNNNNNNNNNNNNNNNNNNNNNNNNNNNNNNNNNNNNNNNNNNNNNNNNNNNNNNNNNNNNNNNNNNNNNNNNNNNNNNNNNNNNNNNNNNNNNNNNNNNNNNNNNNNNNNNNNNNNNNNNNNNNNNNNNNNNNNNNNNNNNNNNNNNNNNNNNNNNNNNNNNNNNNNNNNNNNNNNNNNNNNNNNNNNNNNNNNNNNNNNNNNNNNNNNNNNNNNNNNNNNNNNNNNNNNNNNNNNNNNNNNNNNNNNNNNNNNNNNNNNNNNNNNNNNNNNNNNNNNNNNNNNNNNNNNNNNNNNCCUCUAACUUUACUUGGUGGAAUUUGUAGAAUGGACACCAACUUUGGAAGUGAAAUGGGUUGACCAUGGUUGUGGAUGAUGUCUGGUAUGCCAAGNUCAAUCAUCCAUUUAACACUCAUACAAUCUAUUGUAUGGGCAUACAAGUNUUUGUACAAGUGAACUUGACCUUCAAAGAUCUCACUCGCUUUUAGGACAUUAUUUGAAGCCAUAAUUUGAUGUGAAUCUGUAUUUUGUGUGGUGUUUCGGACUUUCUCGCCCUUUAUAUAAAGAUUCAAAAACCUAAAUUUGUAUUUUCGCUUUUAGUCUAUUCGGAUUUGAAUCCAUGUUAAGAUGAAUUGAUUAUUUUCANAAGUUAUGAAGUCGUUGCUUGUUUCAUUUNAUUGUAAAAUAUCUAUGUAUUUUCAGAAAUAAAAUAUACCCGAAUUUUCUAGUAUUACGUGGCACUCUCUCCGUCCACUUGUUUUGUUACAUUCAUUUCACACGAGGGAGUAAAAUAAUUAUAAAAAAUAAAUUUUUGUAUUUAUGGAGAAAAAAAAUAAUAAAGGUUUAUAGGGAUUAAAGCUUCUCGUUAACCCAUAGGAGAAAUCACGGACAAAGAGAGGGUCUGUUGCGUUAGGCAAAACAGAGAAGAAAAAAAAAAUUAUUUUAAGGUUUCUACCUAUUUAACAAGAAAGAUUUAAUUGAAGUAAAUUAUAUCAACUGUGGACGAAAUUAAUUUUUUUUUAAAAGGUUUGACCAAUUUGACAUAUUGUAAUAAAAUUAGAGACAAAUAAAACAAUUAAAUAUUUAUUUUAUUUUGUAAUCUUGUUUUAAUAAUUUUUAUUGUAGAUUUUAUUGUAGCCGUAGAAGCAAUAAAAGUUAAAUAAGACUAAUUAUAAUAUUAAUAAAGUAAAAUGUACUUAAUUUCUCUAUUCUUAUAAAAAAUAUGUAAUUGCAGAGAUUUUGAAAAACCGUCAUUAAUGUUAUAAUGUGAAGACAAAUGAUGAUCAUGAUAAUUUUGAAUCAUUAAUCUCAUUAUUGUUUUUUGUUUUUAUUUCAUUGACUUGUGAUAUAACAAAAGAUACUUAAAAUGAAAAAAAAUUAUUUGAAAAGUAAAAAAAAAUUUAACCAACAAGUUAUUAAUAAGAACAAUAAAAGAAGUAAAUAUUGAUAAAAUAUUUAUUAAUCUGAAAUUGUAAUUCUAAAUAAGAAAAAGAAGUUGAAGAUGAUUCAUUGUGACAAUGACUAUUCAUUUCAAAGAUUUUAGGUCACCCAAACCUAGACGACUGUGAAUGUGUCCACAAUGUUUUUGAGUUUCUAAGACAAGAGCUAAUGAAUAUGAACUUGAAAUUUCUUUUGAUUGAUGUUGCAGUGAAUUCAUAUGCUUUAAUUUUUCCUACAUACAUUUAAUAAAAAAGAUGGUGAAACAGAAAUACAACAAAUAGAUACCAAGCAUUGCAACAAAUAUGAUGAAGAUGAGAAUAGUAGAAAGUAAAAAGAAAUGAAUUAUGGUACUAAAUAAAAAAUGACCUCAGAAAAAAAUAUAUAUGUUCAGUGCAUGCAUGGAAAUAAAUUGUGGUGUCUUAAUAUUAUUUACUACCUGUAAUAUUUUGUUCCUUUCAUCGAAAGUAUGGACUCUUACUUUCACAUGAUUGAAACUCCACCCCCUGUAACGAAUGCAUGCACAAAAAGAACUAUUAUUACUAACACAAAAUAUCGAUUCGUACGUAACAGGGACCAAUGUUUCUUGGAAGCUUACAACCAUUAACAUGUCACUAUUAUAUGUUCAGUGUAUAUGCAUGUCUCUAUUACCAAAAUAUAUAUACUCGUACGUGUUGAAAGGGCUGUGUUCCAAACAACCUAACCUAUACAGUGUACAACCUAACCUAAAGAGCGGAGUCCAGAAUGAGCAACGUAAUAAGCACCGAUAGAAAAAUUAUUACGCAAAUUUUCUUUGAGGUCAAUUUAACUUACACUAAUUUCCCUUGUUUUAUCACUUACAAAAUCUCCAUGGAUAGUUAUCUAUACUUCUCUUCUAUUAACUUUGUGUCCAUACUCUAUUUUUUAUAUAAAAAAAAUAUUUUACAUAUUAAAUAUGUGAUAAAUAUAAUGAAAAUUUUAAAAUUGAAGAAUAAUAACGCUUCCUAUUUUCUUUUCUUUUCCUAACAAUGUUCUUGGAUCCUUGUGUGAGAAAGAGUUUGUUUUUUUUUUGUGCAUUAUAGGUUUUAUUUUUGUUCUUUCUUUAAGUCGAUAGUAAAAAAAAAGUCUAAUGAUAUUUUUCUAUUUCUUCUGGAACCAUUGCAAUCAAUUGAUGAUGUUUAAUAUGUGUCAUCAUAUUUUUGUUGUCAAAACUUUUGUGAUAAUUUCUCCAUUUAUGAUUAAGUAUGUAAUGUUAGAUUUUAUGAUUGACAGAUAUCAAUUAUGUGUCGUGAUUAGUAAAAAAUUAGAUAUUUAGAUAACAUUUUUUUAACAACAUUUGAAUAUUGAUUAUGUGUCGUGAUUAGUAAAAAAUUACUUCACAAUCAAUAAUAAUAAUCAUAAACAUUAUUGUGGAGUAAUUUUUUACCAAUUACGGAUUGACACAUAAUCAAUGUUCAAAUGUCGUCAAAAAAAAGUUGUUUAAGUAUCAUUAUCCGUUAGUUUUUUUAUAGAUUUCAUUACAUAAACACAAAAAAAAAAUAGAGGAUAAGAUACCCUAUCCUCCCAUAUUUCCCCGCCACUAAAACUUGAGAAAUGGUCCCCAUGUCAAUGUGAUGUUAAGGUUGAAAAUUUAAUUGAUUGUAUCAAUGAUUCAAUAUCAUUCAACUCAUCUUAAUUAUAUCGAUUGGUUUAUGUAAAUUUAAAAAUUCAAUAAANACUGGUAAGUACUUCAGGUUUNAUAUCCAAUUGCAAGAGUUGAGAAUUNAUNUAUUAACUAUUAGAAUUUAAGUCUGUGUAUAACAUAAAUAUGACUGACAACCUUUCAUGUAUCACUUUAGUCUUAUGUUUUAUAGCAACUACUCACACUUUAAUUUACAAUUUCAUAAGUCUCAACAGUGAAGUAUAUAUAUAUUUGAGUGUAAGCAUCUGCCAUUAAAAUAGAUUUUGUUGUAUCGUUUCAUUGCAUCUCCCAAACUUGGGAUGUAGUUAGAUAGUUUAUAGUUUUCUGCUUUUAUAAGCUACGCAGGCCUUUGACCUCAACGAAGAAAACCUCGUUUUACCCUAAAUAUAUUUGAUUGCAUAAAUGAUAACGAAAAAUGGUUAUAAAACAAAGUUAUCGUUUCCAUUUUUAAUAAAAAAGUGAUAAAAUAUACUUGGUGGAUUUUCCUAAAUAAAUAUUUACAUUUUUGAAUUUUAAAUUUGACCAAUUUAAUUGGAUUUGGAUUCAAUUCAUAUUGGAUAAGUUAUGGAUUUUUGAAAAUUUAAAAUUAAAAUAAGUCUAAGAAAAGUUGAGUAGGACAAAUAAGAAUUAAGUUAAAUCAAGUCAAUUUAGAUAUAAAGUUGAACAAAAUUCGCUUAAAGCAUAUCCUGAAAACAAAUCGACCUACUAAAUAUCCAGUAUUUAAAAGUAAGACAAAUUAAUAAACUUAAUUAAUAGUUAAAAGUCCAUAUUUAAUAAACUUAAUUAAUAGUAAGAUAAAUUAAAUUAAUCUCGUUUAAUUUAAUUUAAUUGAUAAAGUGAUUCAAUAUAAAUUUAGUUCAAUUUAAAGAUUUAAAAAAAUUAAAAUCUAAUUAAUAUAUUUGAAAUGAAUUGAGAUUGUAAAUUCAAUACAUUGUAUUAGAUUAGAUUUGAUUAGACUGGUUUUGAAAAAUGUAUUGCACAUUUCCUUUAUUAAUAAAGCAAAACUUUAACACAUUCCAUCAAAUUUCAUAUUUCUAGUCUUGUUCCUAUCAAUUCUUCUUUUUAUUCUGGUCCCAUUUUCUUACUAUCAAUUAUUGAUAAGGGAAAAUAAGCAUUGGGACCUUGUACGUUCAACAACAUGCGUUGAAGAAAUGCAUCGACAUAACUUCAGUAAUCAAAUGUAAAAUAAUAUUUUGACACCAAUUUUUUGACACCAUUUUAACACUAUACACGUGUCAAAACGUGGUGGUAUGAUUUUAAAUUAAAAAAAAAACUUUGAUUUUUUUCUUUCAAAUAUGUCUUUGUUUCAGUUUUUUAAUUUGAAAUCAUCCAACCACGUUUUGACACGUGUGCAGUGUCAAAAUAGUGUGAAAAUUUGAUUUCAAAAUAUCAUUUUCCAAUCAAUCAAGGAUAGAUCUGAAUGAGAUUCAAAUGUACUGUGAAAGGAGAUAUUUUGUAGCUUUGGAACCCUGCUUCCACAAACACUUUCUUCCAUUCUUCUUCUCUUCUUUCUUUUCCAUUAAAAAGACAUGUCAUGUGAACAUCCAUGAGGAGCUUUAGUCCAGUAAGUCCCUGCUCAUCUUGCCCUUCGUUUAUCACAUUUUCUAUCACAAUUACUUUUCCUCUUUUGCCUUUACCAGAAAUAGCUUCUCUGCAAUUUUCUAAUAUCUUCUUACAAUCCUUGUCACUCCAAUCAUGAAGAAUCCACUUCAAAAAAAUUUAUAAAUUUUUUAAUAACAUGAAUCGAAUAUUAAAUUCGUAUUCUAUUUUAUAAAAAAAAAAAAAGUUGCAGUAAAGAAAGAAGUUUAGGAAACAUUCGUUUAUAGAUGCCUACCUUGAGCAGAACUGCAUCAGCCUUGGGAAUAGAUUCGAACAUGUCACCACCAACAUAAGUCAAAUUCUUGGUUCCCGACAGCUUCUCCACAACCUGUGGACGAUCAAACACAGUGCACUUCACGUUAGGAAAUGCAUCACAGAUAGCCUUAGCUGUGUUUCCGGUUCCACCUCCGACAUCCACAAUGGUCUCCACUCCUUCGAACACCCAUUUGCAACCUCUUAAUGCCAGAUUCAUCAUCUGAGAAUCACUAGCCAUUGCCUCAUUGAACGACUCGUUCAUUGCUGGGUUUUUACUAAGAAUGUCCCAGAAAUUUGAUCCAAGGGAGACAUCAUACAGUGUAAGAUCAUCCUCAUAAGUCCACUUCCUCAAGUGAGACCAUAUAUCUGAUAAAGUUGGGUUAGUUAUACCCUUUACCAUUGGUGCAAGACAAAAGUCAGUGCCUUUGACAAGAAGGUGUGAUGCAGGUGUUAGAGUAAAUGCUUCGUUUUCUUCUGUGCUGUGAUGGACUCUUACAAUCCGAAGGAAUCCAUUGUGUGCCAGGUAGCGUAGGAGACUCUUCACGCCUCUAACUUUACUUGGUGGAAUUUGUAGAAUGGACACCAACUUUGGAAGUGAAAUGGGUUGACCAUGGUUGUGGAUGAUGUCUGGUAUGCCAAGCUCAAUCAUCCAUUUAAUACUCAUACAAUCUACUGCAUGAGCAUACAAGUGUUUGUACAAGUGAACUUGACCUUCAAAGAUCUCACUCGCUUUUAGGACAUUAUUUGAAGCCAUAAUUUGAUAUGAAUAUGUAUUUUGUGUGGUGUUUCACACUUUCUUGCCCUUUAUAUAAAGAUUCAAAAACCUAAAUUUGUAUUUCCGCUUUCAGUCUAUUGGGUAAGUUGAAUUGAUUAUUUUUCAGAAGUUAUAAAGUUGUUUUUUAUUUCAUUAAAUUAUAAGAUAUCUAUGUAUUUUCAGAAAUAAAAUAUACACGAACUUUCUAAUAUUACGUGCAAUUCGGUCUUUUUUUUUUUCAAUUACUUAAAAAAGAACGACAAUGACAAAGAUAUAUUAACAUUUGAUCAUAUUUUAACUAAAAUAGAACCUCUCAUUUUUUAUUACAUUUAUAAUGCAUUAACAUAAUAUUAAAUAAAUAUUAAAUUAAUAAAAAAAUGACACGUAUAUUAUAUUAAAAAAGUUAUAAAAAAAUUGUGUCAAAAAUAUUUUUUUAAAAAGAAAUAGCUCUUUAAAAUUACAUAACAGAACUCUAUAAAAAAACAAAUGAGAGGAUAAGAUAUCCUCUGCUCCCAUAUUUCUCCGCCACUAAAACUUGAGAAAUGGUCCCCAUUUCAACGUGGUGUGAGGUUGAAAAUUUAAUUGAUUGUAUCAAUGAAUCAAUAUCAUUAAAUUUAUCUUAAUUAUAUCUGUUGGUUUAUGUAAAGUUAAAAAUUGAAUUAAUAGUUAAUGUCUUUACUAAGAAAACUUAUUGUAUACUUGAAUUUAUACUUUAUUUAUGUCUUAUUUUAUCUUUUUUUAAUUGUCUGUUGUAUAAUAAUCAAUUUAAUUAUAAUAAAGAUUUCGAUGAACUUAGGAAAUAUAGCUAAAAUAAAUUAUAAAGAUCUAUCUCUAUAGAUAGAAAAUGAAAAACACAAAUCAAAUAAGCAAUAUUAUUUUAUGUACAAUAGUGGAGAAGUAUACAGAAUAAAAAAAAUUCACUUUGUUUCAUAUAUAUUACCGUUCAAAUUCAUUGGUUUAAAGAACAAAACACUACAAAAAGAUUAUAAUAUAAUAGGGGUUUCUUUUCUGCGGUUUUGAAAACCUCUCCUAAAUUUGAGCUGUUUUAAUGAAAACCGCAACUAUGUUUUCUCUUUUCUAUUAAAAAAAAAAAUUGGCUAAUUUUACAGCUUUCUCUUCACUCCGUCUUCACACUUUCCCUUCUUUUCCUUUGCACCCUUGCUUUCUGCAUUUUUUUCCUCUCUGACUCUCGUUCUUCACCACACCUUCCCUUUGUCUUUUCUUCUUCCCUUUGUCUCUAGUUCUUUCACAUUAACUUCUCAUUCGCAUUGCCUUUCUUUUGCUUUUUUAUCUUUUCCACUCAGUCACUCGUUCCCCAACCCUAAUUUUCAUUUUGUUGCAUCUUCACGUCGCUGCCUCUCCAAUGUCACUCUACGUCGGUGACCUCCAUUCUGACGUCUCCGACAGCUGCCUCAUCGAUGUAUUCUCCGAGUUCAAGAGCCUUAACUCCGUUCGCCACUGAAAACAAUAUUUCGAAACAUACUUUUCACCUUCCUUGAUAUAACCAACGCCAAAACACAACAAAAAAUGAAGCUAGUGUGCACAUUGUACUAAAUGAUUUAACAUGAAACAAAUUAUUGAAAAGAAAUUGUUGUUGACUAUGUUCCCUUAUUCAAAAAAGAGACUACUACUCGUUCCCUUUCGAACGUUUCAUAUUGAUAAGCAUAUUUUCAUUUUAUUUUUGUAAAAAGAAUAAAAAUAUUCUAAGAAAUUACACACCUUCUAUAUUUGAGCAAAUUACAGAAUAUUGAGUAGUUUUCAAGAAGAAGAACUGUAUUGACCAACUAUAUAAAAAUCAAUCAACCAAAAUUUUGUAAACUAGUCAUAAUGAACCUGUUAGCUCUCAGUUGGACCAGAAAAUUACUUUCCAAACUAAAUCACAUCAUGUAAGUUUAUUUUAAAAAAUUCACAUCUCCAACUUGUUUGUUCAAUAAAAAUAUGAUGUUGUCAUUUUGAUUUAUCAUUUGCUGCAGAAGUGAAAUUAAGAAAAACAAAACGCACUGAAUUUCAAAUUGCAAUUUAAACUUAAUAAAUAUGUUACCAUCACAUUCAUAGUUUAACUUCUACUUGUUUAUUUUUUUAGUUUUGCAAUUAUUAAAAUUAUUGUAGACUUUAGUUUUUUACAAAAUUUAAUAACAAUCAGAAGGAAAAAGAUAUAACACAUCAAAAAUUAACAUCAACAUCAUCAAUUAUUUUGUUAUUAAAGUAGAAAACAAAUGAAUGAAAGAAGCAAAAGCAAAAAAUUACUAUAUCACGGAUUACUGUGUGAGUGAGAAAAAUGAUGAAGAUGAGACAGAAACAAAUUGGAUAAGUAAAGAAGGUGGAUUAUGGUUAGGUGAGUGUUUUUUAUUUUUUUUUUAAUUGGGGCUACUGUGGUGAUGAGAGAGAAGGUUAGAGUGAGAGAGAUGAAAUAUAAAGGGUUGAGAGGAAUAAGGGAUGAAAGAGGGGUCAAUAAGGGUUUCUUGUUUUUUUUUUUUUUUUGAGAAUUGAAAUCAUUCAAUUAUCCUUAAUUAUAAAACUUAAAAUCCAAAAUAUAUGAGGGUAUUUUUGUCUACUAAAAUCUGAUACACUUUGCUAAAAUGUAUAAAUUGAAAAANNNNNNNNNNNNNNNNNNNNNNNNNNNNNNNNNNNNNNNNNNNNNNNNNNNNNNNNNNNNNNNNNNNNNNNNNNNNNNNNNNNNNNNNNNNNNNNNNNNNNNNNNNNNNNNNNNNNNNNNNNNNNNNNNNNNNNNNNNNNNNNNNNNNNNNNNNNNNNNNNNNNNAUAUAUAUAUAUAUAUAUAUAUAUAUAUAUAUAUAUUCUUUAAUUAUUUUAUACUUUUGUCUAUAGAAAAAAUAAAAUAUGAAAAUAUCAAUUUAAAUACAUAAAAGUUAUUAAAUUUAUUCACGACAAUGAUUAAGCUUUUUCAAAUAUAUGUUGAAAUAAUACGAAAAUUUAUAAUUACGUAUAAAAAAUUGGUGUAUAUAAUUUUUAUUUUCAUUUUAUUAUUAACUUUUUAAGAGAAAACUAUAAUUAUUAAUUGAUUUUUCAGAAGUAAUUAUUAUUUUGAAAUAGUUUAUAUAAAACUGUACAUGUUACAUUUUUGUUUUUUCCUUUUUGCUUUUUUCAGUGUACAUUUAGUUUCUACGAGCAAUAAUUUAUAUAUAUAUAUAUAUAUAUAUAUAUAUAUAUAUAUAUAUAUAUAUAUAUAUAUAUUAGUUAUAUUAUGGAUACGGUUAUAGGGUCAAGAUUAGAGUUCUACAAGGUCGAUGUCUAAGUUCUACUUAAUGUUGAACGGUUAUGCUUUUGCCUUUGUUAUUGCUCGUCUUUUAUUCUGAUGUCAAAAUCAGUAAAGAUUUAUCCAAUGCAAUAGUUAAUGUAUAACAAAUUCAACCAACUUAUCUCACUUCUUUAAACAUGUAUUAAUAGAUCUUGGAGUACGCUUCAUAUUAACACUGACCAAAUUACGACCCAAUUAAUAAUGAUCAUAUUUUGGCUUAAGUUAAUCAACAUCAAUCUUAAUUGUUAUUUAAAGAUCAACAUUCGGUUCAUGUUGUUCAACCAACCAAUCUCUGGGUGGUUUAUUGGAUGUUCUUACAUGUGUGGAUCGUCAGGUAAGACCGGACGUCCAUACAAAGAAAGAUGACUGAAAGAUGAAAUGUGUCUUUUUCUAAUAAAAAGAAGGAGAAAUAGAAGACAAAGAAGCACAAGUAGUAGAUUUUGGAUGAAAAAUUUGUUGUUCUUUUUAUCGAUGAUUUUAUUGAUGGAAAAUUUUGUGAGUAAUAACAAAUUUAAAAUUACUGACAGAUUUAUUUCUAUCGAUAAAUCUAUCAAUAAUAAAAAUUUCAAUUAUUGAUGAAGUUUUUUAUUAAUAAAAUCUGUCAGUAAUUUUAAAUUUGUUAUUACUCACAAACAACAAAUCCAUCGAUGAAAAGAACAACAAAUUUUCUAUCCAAAAUCCACUACUUGUGCUUCUUUGUCUUCUAUUUCUCCUCCUUUUUAUUAGGAAAAACACACACAUUUCAUCUUUCUCUUUCUCACUCAAACUUCAUAGGCACCACCUUUCCUAACUACACCACCUUCGCUCGCACAUCAUUCGACGUGUCUAGUGACACAUUUUUUCCCUUUCUUAUAUUCCAUUGUAGAUGUAGGAACACCAUAUUAAGUAGUCAUUGUGCCUCCAUCUCUAUCGUGCUCACCACCACUCAUCAUUCCCACAGGUAGAGUGCCUUCAUCGAGAACGUCACCAAUAUCAUCGACGUAUCAACUAUCUCUCUCUUCUUGUUCACUUCAUGUAUGCAAGGGAAAGUUUUUUCGUAAUCUUCUUCAUCAUUCACAAGAUAUUAAAGUUGUUGCUACAUAAGGUUUCAUCAUCAUUCAUCAUCAAGGCUUUCGACAACAAUGUCAAUCAUCUUGGAAAUGAUCUCUAGCAUCGUUGGUGUCCAUCCAUUUUCAUCAUUGGAACUUAUUUGUUUAUUUAUUUAUUGUUGUUAUGAUUGAUAAGUGUGAAAAAGAGUUGUUUUUACACUUAUAAAUGAGCUCAAUCUUGUAAUUAUUCAUGUUGUUACUUAGUGAAAGUUGUAAUAGGAAGUAGAUUGUUAUGUAAAACAUUGUACAAGAAAGGGUGUAUUAUUUGGACUGUUGUCAGCCAAUUCUCGUUAAGCGCAAGCCAUAAUUCGCACAGUCAGAAGGAAGACAUUCGCACAGCGUACUAACACUGUGCGCUAAACGAAUAACAUCAAUUAAAGAAGUAGCAGUUAAGAAAUUCGCACAGCACACAACUGUGCGCUGAGCGAAUUAAUGAAUUAAAAGAUGUGACAAAAAGACAGAAACUAUCUUCUGACGCAACAAAAAAAAGCACAAAAAAUUCUGGAGAACAUAAGGAGACUUUUCAAGACAUCAAGACUUAACUUUCUGCAAGGAAUUGCUGUAAAGAGUACAUUUUAAAUGUCUAGGAGAGGCUAGUUUUUCUGUUCAUUGGAAUUUCUUGUAUGACGAUACAUUAAUGUAAAUUUUCUGUGCAAUAUAUGUUUUUGUUUUGUUCUUUUCUUGACUUGCGUGUGAUUAUACGGAAGUAUAAUUCUUUUUAAACGUUCUUUUGUACUGGGAAGUAUUUUUAGAAAAGAAACGUAAGAAAAAGAAACUAAAAGUUACUAUGCUAAGAAUAGUUUCUGCGGUUUUGGUCAUUCUCAAUAUCUGAAAUUAAUGCAAAAUUAUCUGUUGAAUUAAUUAAGGAAUUAAUAAUUUAAUAGAUAAUUUUAGAACUUGUUUUAAGGAAUUAAAUCAAGAUACGCUUAUGUGAAUGCUUGAACAAAGAACGUAUCUUGUACAGGAUGUUACUGUAAUGUUAGUCAAAGACCAGUUUUAGUGAUCUUUUAUUGUAUUUUACAAUCUUAAAUCAAGAUACGCUUAGAAUGCUUGAACAGAGAACAUAUUUUGUAUAAGAUGUUAUUGUAAUGUUAGUGAAAGACCAAUUCCAGUGAUCUUUUAUUGUAUUUUACAAUCUUAAAUUUUUACAUUGUUAAUUUUAUGCCAUUUUCCCAAAUUGAAAUCAAAAUGUUAUCAUCGGUAAUUGAUUUUGAUAAAUAAUUCUAAUUGAAUAACAUGACUCAAAUUCCCUUAAAAGAAUGAUACUUUACUUAUUCACUAUAUUACUUGUAACGAUUUAGUGUACUUGCCAAAAAAUUAUCAAUGAUUCUCAAAAUAACUCCCAAUGAUAUAAAUGAACUUUCUUGUAACUUCUUUUUGUAUUCUUUUAUUUUCUUUUUGCCAUUCUAAAGUGUAUAUGUGAUUAAAUCUAAUUUAUAUAUGGUUGUUAUUGUGUUGGGGUAUCUUGUUGUGUAUGUUUUGCGAAUGGGGAAGAAAGGUCUCUGGUUCUCCUGUUGUAGGUGUGAAUGAAGAAAGGACGAAGGAGAAAAAUGAUGAAUUAGAUUGCGAUUUUUAUUGACAAAAAAAAUCUGUUAAUAAUGAUUGACGAAUUUUAUCAACAGAUUUUUUGUGAUAAUUACUAACAAUUUUUAUAAAUUGAUUUGUUUAUCGGUAAUUAUUGAUAUAUUUAUCAAUAAAGAUUUUACCAACAAAAAUUUGACAAUAUCAGUGAAUUUUGGCUGAUAUCAGGAUUUCUUAUAAUGGAUACUAACUCCAAUCACCUCGCGAUCUAUAAUGAACAAAUUUAGUGUUAGUAUCUAGUGUCCUAUCAUAAUAUGAUAUUUAGUUUCUAAACAUAUCAUUUAGCUUUUUGAAUCUUUAUAUAAAGGGCGACAAAUUCUUAAACACCACACAGAAAUAUAGAUUCACAUCAAAUUAUGGCUUCAAAUCGUGGGCGUAGCUCAAAUGAGAUCUUUGAAGGUUAAGUUCACUAGUACAAACACUUGUAUGCUCAUGCAGUAGAUUGUAUGAGUAUUAAAUGGAUGAUUGAGCUUGGCAUACCAGACAUCGUCCACAACCAUGGUCAACCCAUUUCACUUCCAAAUUGGUUUCCAUUCUAGAAAAUCCACCAAUGAAAAAAAAAUCUGAGGCUUUAAAAAUUGGUUUAUCAUUUAUGAAAUCAAAUAUAUUUAGUGUAAAGUGAGGCUUUUUUUGAUUGUUAGUGAUUCUUGUAUAUUUAGUAAUGUAACUUAUAGUAGGAGGAAAAAAACAUAAAUUUUCACCAAUAUUAAUCAAAAUAAUUGCACUUGAACAUUUACGUGUUCUUGUGUGAGGUGAUGGUGUCUUCCUUCUUCUUGUGUGACAGGAUUACAUGUUCCUUAACUAGAUUACAAGACUACUCAAGUAGAUUUAGAGGGGAGACUACAGAUGAUCUUUAGGAGAGGCUACAAAUGUCUUAUGUGCUUGUGUUUGUGUAUUUGUGGAUGAUAUUAUCUACGAUGAUCCUAUAAUGUGUUAUACGAAAACGAAUGAUAUUGCAGAUGUUUUAGAGGCAUGAUAGAUUUGUGAGAUGAUGGGAGAAAUAUUUGGAUUUCUUUAAAAAGUUCUUUUGGUCAAGAUUUUUGAAACAAUGUAAUUGUAGUUGUUUUACUUCUUUAGUUAUUUUAAAUACUUUUUAGAAUAAUGUAAUUGGACUUUAAAACUACUCUUUUGAAUAAAAUUAUGUAUGUUAGUUAAGAUUUAUGAAAAAUAAAUUUUUAUACUAUAAAAAAGUAUAUAAAUUUUCAAUUUUUGUAAACAGGUGACAUUCUAAAAUUUGGAACGUUACAAUUUUCAGUCUCAAUGAUUUUGAAAACCCUUACUUUUUAACCCAAGCAACUAGGGACAUUUUUAGAGAACCUCAAUAAGUCUCGGUAGUUUUGAGAACCAACAAGUAACCACACUUUCAAAAACCUCAAUAACUAGUGGUGGUUUUCUACAAUCCUAACAAGUAACGGUAUUUUCUCAAAACCCCACUAUUAUGUUAUAUAAUUUUUAAGAAUAGGAAAGUUAAAUACAUUUUACUUUAUUAAUAAUAUAAUUCGUCUUGUUAACUUUUAUUGUUUGUACUGCUACAAUAAAAAGAUCAAUAUUUACAAUAAAGAUUAUUAAAAUAAGAUUAGGAAAUAAAAUGAAAAAUGAUUUUUUUUACCGACAUAUAAUUAUUUAUAUUAAAAAAUUUAAUCAUGUUCACGAGUUCAAGAAAUUAAAAGAAUGAAAGAUAAUAUAUAUAUAUAUAUAUAUAUAUAUAUAUAUAUAUUCUUUUAUAAUUAUAGUGAUGAAUAUCCGAGAAAAUAGGAGUUACUAUAUGAAAAAACAAAUUCACUAGCAUAUUGAUUAGGAAAACGGAUUUCAAAGUUAAAAAAUUUAAUUUAUUAAUGGUUUUUGUUUUGUGUGUUUAUUUAUUUAACUACGGCUACAAAACAUUGAAACGGUCUAAUCUGACUUCCAAUAAAAUACUUCAUUAUUAAUUAUUCUACUACGAUGACGCAAAAUGGUAAGAUACACGAUAUUUUAAAUCAGAUUCCUAAUAUGUCGAUGAAGUUAUAUAUAGAGAAAUCAGAAGUUGAUGACGUAAACCAGCUAUAUUAACUCAUAUCUUCUCUAAUUUUGUUUGUAUUGAGUUUAAUCGUUAUUUAAGCACUAAACUUUUUACAACCAAUCAAUCAAUCAUAUUAAACAAUAAAUACACAUAUAUAAAAUGGUUAAUUUCAUUUUUACUCAAUUCAAUAUUAUUAUAAAAUAGAUAACUUUUACCAUAUAAUUGAAUCAAGUAAAAUAAAUAUAGAAUAUUUUUUAAAAAAUAGAUCUUAAGUUUAACUUAUUUUAUUUAACUCUACAAAAUUGGUAUGGAAAAUGAUUUUUUUUAUCUAUUUAUAUCUUAUAAAUCUAUCUAUCCAAUUUUCUCCAUAAUCUUAUAAAUUUUUAGAUAACUUUUUAUACAAUCUCGUAUUUUUUUUUUUAUUUUCUUGUAUAUUUUUAUUCUUCAAUCCAAUGACUUUGAACUGUAAUAUAUAUGAAACCAAGUGGAUUUUUUUUAUUCCGUAUACUUCUCCACUAUUGUACAUAAGAUAAUAGUGCUUAUUGGAUUUGUGUUUUUCAUUCUCCAUAUCUAUAGACAGUGAUAGAGAUCUUUAUAAUUUAUUAUAGCUAUAUUUCCUAAGUUUAUUGAAAUUUUUAUUGUGACUAACGUCAUUAUUGUAAAAUAGACAAUUAAAAAAGCGAAUGAAAUAUAACAUAAGUAAAGUAUAAAUUCAGGUAUAUAAUAAGUUUUCUUUAGAAACGAAAAGACAUCAAUUAUUAUUUUUACUGUUUUUUGUUAAUUAAAGAGUUUUGUUAUUUCAAGAGCCAUGUAAUUGAAAAAGAUUGAAUUGUCGGUUUUGAAUCUUUAUAUAAAGGGCGAGAAAGUCCGAAACACCACACAAAAUACAGAUUUACAUCAAAUUAUGGCUUCAAAUAAUGUCCUAAAAGCGAGUGAGAUCUUUGAAGGUCAAGUUCACUUGUACAAACACUUGUAUGCUCAUGCAGUAGAUUGUAUGAGUAUUAAAUGGAUGAUUGAGCUUGGCAUACCAGACAUCAUCCACAACCAUGGUCAACCCAUUUCACUUUCAAAGUUGGUUUCCAUUCUACAAAUUCCGCCAAGUAAAGUUAGAGGCGUGAAGAGUCUCCUACGCUACCUCGCACACAAUGGAUUCCUUCAGAUUGUAAGAGUUCAUCACAGCACAGAAGAAAAGGAAGCAUAUUCUCUAACAUCUGCAUCACAGCUUCUUGUCAAAGGCACUGACCUUUGUCUUGCACCAAUGGUAGAGGCUUUUAUUAACCCAAGUAUGGCACGCGUAUGGUCUCACUUGAAGAAGUGGACUUAUGAGGAUGAUAUUACACUAUUUGAUGUCUCCCUUGGAUCAAAUUUGUGGGACUUUCUUAGUAAAAAGCCAGAGUUUAACGAGACGUUCAAUGAGGCAAUGGCUAGUGAUUCUCAGAUGAUGAACCUGGCAUUAAGAGGUUGCAAAUGGGUGUUCGAAGGAGUGGAGACCAUUGUGGAUGUCGGAGGUGGAACCGGAAACACAGCCAAGGCUAUCUGUCAUGCAUUUCCUAACGUGAAGUGCACUGUGUUUGACCGUCCACAGGUUGUGGAGAAGUUGUCGGGAACCAAGAAUUUGACAUAUGUUGGCGGUGACAUGUUCGAAUCUAUUCCCAAGGCUGAUGCAGUUCUACUCAAGGUAGGCAUCUCCAAAAGAAGCUUUCCUAAACUUCUUUCUCUGCUAAUUUAUUUUACAAAUUAGAAUUUUAAUUUACUAUUCGAUUCUUGCUAUUAAAAUUUUAGGAUUGGCAUGUUUUAUUAACAAACUUUGUAAAUUUUUUCUAGUGGAUUUUACAUGAUUGGAGUGACAAGGAUAGUAAGCAGAUAUUAGAAAAUUGCAAAGAAGCUAUUUGUGAUAAAGGCAAAAGAGGAAAAGUAAUUGUUAUAGAUGUUGUGAUGAAGGAAGACCAAGAUGAGCUGGAACUUACUGGACUAAAGCUCCUCAUGGAUGUGCAUAUGGCAUGUCUUGUUAAUGGAAAAGAGAGAACUGAAGAAGAAUGGAAGAAACUCGUGGUGGAAGCAGGAUUUCAGAGCUACAAAGUAUCUCCUUUCACAGGAUAUUUGUCUCUUAUUCAGAUCUUUCCUUGAAUACUGAACUUAUGGUGAUGUAUUUAGUAGUGUUAUUCCUCUCAUGUAUGGAUCGAAUAAGGUUCGGUGUUUAUUUCUAGCACCAAUAAAAAGGAGAAUUGAUAAGAAACAAGACUCCAAAAAUCUGAAACUUGAUAGAAUGUGUUAGUGUUUGUGAUAUUAAAAAAGGAAACUCAUGAUGAAUACACGAGAAUUUUGUUUUAACUAUGUUCGAUAACAUGCAUGAUAGAGGGCUUUCUGAAAGCCCCAGCCCCAAAAGCCCCUGAUAGAAUGGAUUGGGACAGCUAGGGGUGGGAUGAGCCCCCUUUUUCGAUCAAACCACUCCUUCUUUCAAGAACGCACCACUGCAUAUAUACAAACACCAUUGGAAGUUCUCACUGAAACAUCAAUAGUUCGACAUUUUUCUUCUUACCUUACCGAGGAAGGAUCCAAACCUUCACGAACCUCUAUCAUCAACCUUGCAAUGCUCUCUUCUGUGCAGAUCUCGUCAAAUCUAUUCUUCGUAGAACACUCGGUUCCGCCUCCUGAUUUCACUUACUUAUGGUAAAUCUUCUUUUCUCUUUGUUUUAUUUUUGUCGAGUUUUGGAAUCCAUAAUUCAUUUCUCACGUCCCUUUUGAAAAAAAGUAAUGGAUUCAAUUCUAAGUUUGAAUCAUGAUGUUGGAAGUCAUUCUUCGUGGGUUGAGCUUGAAUCUGUAGGCUUGAAUUUAUGUUAAAGUAAAUAGGUAGUUUAUUAACCUGUUACAUGAUCAUAGUUCCAGUGCAGUGAUAUUGCUAUGUGCAGUGGUUGAAUGGAAUAAAUUGCAAUAUAUGUUGGUUGUCUCGGUGGUUAACAAAAGCAUAAGAGUAUGUAAUAUAGUUUGUGACAAAUACAUGGUUCAGAAAGAGAAAGGGUAUAGAAUGAGACUUGAGGAGAUUGUGUUUCGAAUGAUUAUUAUAUAUUGGUUUGAAACAGUAAAUUUUAAUUAUUAUAUAUUAUUACAUACAUUCUGUAAAAGUGGGACCCGUCAUUAGAUUUUUGUGUAAGAAGGACUAAAUCUAUUGGGAAAAUUAUCCUCCAUUGAUCCUUCAUGGCAAGGUGUGACUGCUUAACCGUUCGAUGAUACUGCUCAUUGCUUUACUCUGUGAGAAACAGCUUAAACCUUUGUCAGAUAUAUCUAAAAGUGGAUUCAGAAACUUUAUGAAGAGGUUAAGUCCAUCUCUUAAAUAUCACACUCUUCUCCCUUCUCUUAAAUAUCUGAGGCACCAUUGCUAGUUUAUGAAUAAGGAUGAGUUUAUGAACUAGCUUUUCAAAAUAUUCAAGUUCUGCUCUAUUUUCACUAAUUUUGAUAUUUUAUUCUGUUUUCUUCAAUUCAAACCAUUGUUCUUUCCUUUCUUAUCAUACCUAUACAAUCUUUUUACAAUUAAUAUACUCAGUUUUGUACUAUUCUUCAAUGGUUUUUGCUAAUCAAAUAUUUUCUGAUAGAUAUGAUUUAUCAUGUAUUUCACAUCACCUUAUUCUCGACAUGGACGUUUGAAGACUUCAAAUCAGCUUUAUCAAAACACAUUGAUACUUCUCCAAUAUUUGAUUUGAAUUUAAAGGUAGAUAAUGGAUGGAAUAUAUGUUUCUGUCAUCUGUUUUAUGCGUUUUAAAUAUGCUAAAUUUUUUUACUUGUCUCAGUACUAAUUACAAGUCUAUUUAUUAAAAUGAACAGUUAGUUUUAUAGGGUGAUUUGUGUUAAAAGUUAUGUAUUUUUCUUUUGAACAAUACUUUCGUAUGAUAUAAAUAAAAUUAGUAUCGAUAAUAUGUUGUAAUGACUAUCAAUCUCUUCUCACAAUACAUUGAUUUAGAACAAAGACUCCAGAAUUUUUAUAAAGAUAAGACAACAAAUCGGUUAUAAUUAAUGUCUUUUUGUAAUUAAGUUUCUACCAAAGGAAGCAAAAUCAAUUUAACAAUUUCUGGUUUCAUUAGGUCCUUUUAUUAUAUCUUGUAUCCUCCAGCACCCCUUUAUGCACUAUGAUUUCAAAGUGUCCUUUAAUAAUGAUUUUAUUAAGAAAAGAAAUAAAACUGGCAUUAUGACAUUGUUUUGAGCAAUUCUAUCAUUUGAAAAUUUUACUAACAAAAAGCCUUGCAUUGUUGAUUAUGCAAAAAAAGUUUGUGAAAGUAUUAAGUCUGAUUCCUUUAUUGUUCUAAAUUCCCGAAAUUAUCUGCACUUGCACCCCUUUCAUCUUUUAACUUAAUUUACUUCGCACCCUUUCAAUAAAAACUCCCAAAUUUUAUUGAUCAGUGUUUUCAACAUCAUUAUUUUUGUCAGCAUAAUGGAUGACAAUGGAACGAGCAAGGUUGCUCUCUAUUUUAUUUUUUUGAAUUUCUGUAGUUCCUUUUGUAAAUUUUGAUAACCUCUAUAUAGUCGGAUUGGGUUGGAACCUUUGUACGCAUUUUCAACGACAUCCUAUAGAUUGAAGACUUGUAAAUUAGUGUUUCACAAACAUACCUAUUAAAACUAACCAUUCAUUUUACAAUAAAUGCUAAAAAAAAUUAUUCCUAGUUUUAUAGGACUUACAUUAAUGUUUCACAGAGUUCCAUAGAAGAAAAACCUAUUAAAAUAUUAUUCAUUUAUCUAUGUAGUUGUGUGUAAUAACUUUUAAAUAUGGAUGACUUUAAGAGUAAUUCUUUUGAUUUUGAUUGAUGAUCUUACAUCUAAAACUUUGAGAGUGUUACCACUAAUAAAAAAAGAAAUCUCAAAAAUAGAAAAAGAUAAGGAUGCCAUUGAAAAGACUGCAUGUAAGUAUUAUGGUAAUAAUUACAAAGUUAGAAAAAACCUGAUUACUAUGAAAUUUCACUUUGUACAUUGAAAUUAUUCCUAUGAAAUCGGCGUAAAACAUGAGUAUGGAUUGGGAUGCUGAUUUUAUCUUCCUUGAUAUAAUUUUUUUACCUUGUAGGCAAGUGAUGUGAAGUGGGCAUAUCGCUGCCUAUACGGCGGAUGACCAGCUUCACUGGUUUUUAAUAGUGAACUCUCUGAUGGUUGUACUUUUUCUUUGGGCUUGAAGGCAGAGGUGGUACAGGCAGCGAAGAAGAAAUUUUGAGGAAGUGGUUAUCUGAGCUGAGUAAAGAUAAACAGGAAUUGCUAUUUCAUGUAUGUAACAAGUAAAAAUUUGUCAGCAGACAUAGGAUAACAGAGCAUAUCAUACAAAAAUUGGCAUAUUAAAAAAUAUUAAUGAUGUGUUUAGAACUGUUGGUGUGGAUUAGUUGUUACUAAAUAAAAUGCUUUUAUAUACCCAUUACUUGUUAUCUGGCGAUGUUUAUUUGUUGUUCUUGUAUAGUUUAAGCUUAUAAGUUUGCCAUGGAUAUGAAACAUUGAAGUUUUCAUUCCCUUUGCCUAUGCAGAAAUUAAACUCAUGAAUUUCUUUUCUUAUUGAAUUUUAAAAACAAAGAAAGGUACGGUCCUAGUCUAUAAGACUUUGUGGAUAUUUGAUCCUAUAAACUUUUUUAAUAAAAAAGAUUUUUUUUCUGUAGAUUUUUUAUUCCAACCCACAUAUGUUAGAGUUAAGGUUAGAGUUAAGACCUAUUAAAUGCACUAACUUAUUCUCGAGAUUUAUGAAAUUGUAAACUAAAAUUUGUGAAAUUGCAAAAAGUUGUCAACAAAACUAACGUGGUACUUGAAUUAUAAUAAUUAAGUUAAAUUUUCAACCUUGGAAUAGCGGUUGGAUGGGAAAACUAAAGUUAUUAUCAGCGUUUAUUGAAUUUUUAACUACAAAUUAAGACAUACACACAAAUACAAAGCCACAUAUAGGAAUGAAAAAAAAUUUUGUGAAACAGAUAUCCGUAGAUAAAAUCUGCGAUUAAUAGUUGAUAUUCACGGAUAUAAAUUAUCAACAAUCCGCAGCUAAUGAAUAUUUUAAUACCGCUUAUAAAUGGAUCGGAUGCGAGUAUUAUAUUAUUCGUACUCGUUGAUAUCCGUUAUCCGCAAAAGAAUAAAAAUAAAAAUUUAAUUUAUAUUUUAUUAAGUUAAAUUUAAUUAAAAUUAAUAUUAAUUAUAUUUUACAAAGUUAAAUUUAAUUAAAAUUAAAUUUUAAUUUAUAUUUAAUUUAAUUUAUAUAUUUUGUAUUUCUAUUUAAAUUUUAUUUUAAUAAUUUAUAAAAAUAUUUCGUUUUCAAUAUCUGCGAGUUUUAAAAUACUCACAGAUAUUUUUUAAAUUGAUAUCUGUGCGGGUAGCGGAUCGGGUAGCGGGUGAAUUUUUUUUUAUCGGAUCGAGUUGCAAAUAGAUACUAUCCGUGUUCAAUCCGACCUGUUGUCAUCCCUAACUACACACAUAUAACUUUCUUUUCCAUUAAAAAUGUUUUUUUUCUUUUAGAUAUUAUAAUAAAAUUAGCGCAUAUAUAUAUAUAUAUAUAUAUAUAUAUAUAUAUAUAUAUAUUAAGUUCGUAGUUUUAUUUUUUAUUUUUAGAUUUCUAUUCAAUAUUUUUUUAAUUUUAAAAAAUUUAUUCACAUAUCAUUGUCAAUGUAAUGUAACAAUUUAUGUCAGGAUUAAUGUGAAGUAUCUAUGUUAUGUUUUUUAUAAUUAAUUCAGACUUUACAGAUUUUACAUUUAUUAUUUUAAUUCAAUUUAGUUUUUUUUUUUUUAAGUUGAUCAAAUUUGUCCUUUCCAAAUUAAAAUAAUUUCUUUUAUAUAAAUAUUAUAAUAAUAUUUUUACUAGAAUUCAUAUUUUAAUUAAAUAUUUAUGAAAUUUUCUUAAACCAAUUUUAACAUUGAUAUAGAAAUUAUUGAGUGUUAUAUAAGUAGCUUUUUUAUAUAAAUUUAUAUACAAUUAUUUCAAAUAUAAAUUCAAAUAAACUCACAAAUAUUUUUAACUUCAGAAGUUUAAAUAAAAAUGAAAAUUUACACAAUUAAAUUGUAAGUAAUUUAAUAGAUAUUCAAUUUGUCUUCAUUUAUAAUUUAAUAUUAGAUAGUAUUAUUUUAUUUUGUAAUUCAAUAUUCGAAUACUUUUAUUAACUCUUUCUAUAUAACUAGAUAUAUUGAAUAAUAAGUUGGACAACAAAAUCAAACUAUUAUGAAAAAUUACAGAAAAAGUUGAAACAUAAAUCUUAUAAUUAUAUUUGAAUAAUAUAUUUAGAGUUAGUUUAAAAAUAUUUCUAAAAGUAUUUAUUAAAAAUUUUAAUUUUAACAAUAAUAUUUUUUUUAUAAAAAUUAAAUUUAGUUUUAAUUGGGAAAGAAAUAAAAUUGUUUCAUUUCAAACAAAAAUUAAAACUGAAUUUAAUCUAAAUAAUAAAUAUAAACACUAAAUUAAAUAUAAAAUAUGUGACAAUAUAAAUUAAAAAAGUUAAAAAGAAAAAUACAAUGACACACGUCUCUAGUCAGUAAGAAUAAAAAAGAUCAAACAAAAUCAAAUAUUAAAAAAUUUAAAAAAACUUAGUUGAGACAAAAAGAAUUAGAAAACCAAAUUGAAUUUGUUUUAUAUUAAAGUUAGUACUAAACGAGUAUUUAAACCAAAAAUUAAUUUCUUAUGACUUAUUCUUGAAUUCAUACUUUAUUUCUUUUUCGAAUUUUCUAUUUUACAGUAAUCAUGUUAAUCACUAGAAAUUUCAAGUAAAUUAGUUAAUAAACUGUCAUAAAGUUAAAAUAUGUUUUGAAAAUUGACCUUUCAUAUAUUAAUUUACACUACAAGAAAAAUGACAACUAUCUAUCGCCAAAAUCCGUAUAUAAGGUUCAAAAUCCGUAUUUAAUAGAAUUUUAUAUACAGAUUAUAUACGGCCCAAAAUUCGUAUAUAAUACCCUCGUAGGUAGACUUAUAUAUGGAAAUAUUCGUAUAUAACUUAUAUACGGAAAUAUCCGUAUAUAACUUAUAUACGGAUAUUUUCGUAUAUAAUUAUAUUUCAUUCCAAACAAACCGAUGCGGACCUGGAUAUUGGACAUAAGCAUAAUUUAUACAUGCAAACCUGAAUAUUAAACAUAAACACCAUUCAUAUGCAGUACUGAAUAUUAAACAUAGUAUAUUGUCAUAUAAAAGAAAUAAGACACGCACUUAAUCAACAAAAAAUAUUGUUUACAUAACAAAAAUUAGGUAACGAAACAUUCAUGUAAACAAGUUCAACACCAUAAGCUUCAUCUAAAUCAGUUCAACAACAUAAGGUUCAUCUAAAUCAGUUCAACAACAACAUAAGCUUCAUCUAAAUCAGUUCAAGAAUAAUGAAAGUAAGUUCUAUAAAAUGGCUGGUGAUCAUUUCCAUCAUCUGGUUGAUCUGGUGGUGGUUGUUGGAUUGGUGAUUGCUGGUUUGGAGCUUGUCGGUCUGGACCUUGGUGGUCAUUGGCUGCUUCAUUUUGAUGUUGAGAAUUUGGAAAGUUUAAAAAUUGUUGUGUAGCUGCAGUAGCUGAAGGUGGAAGGAAUGGAAGGAGGACACCAAGAAAGCCAUGAACCAUUUGAAGUUGUUGGCCAUAUUGUUGUACCUGUGAUUUAAGAUUAUCAAUUACUUAUGAAUUUGGUGCCUGAGUGGAAGAAGAUGCCUGUGUCUGUCGGAUGUAACUAUCGACACAGUCAUCUGUGGAACUGACAUGUCCAAUGCCAUAUACAGGUCCCUUGUAUCUUCCACCAGCAGCAUCUAACUAGCAUUGGUUUCUCAAUCUCUCCUCCUCCGCAGGGUCUAGGGGACUACAUGCAGAGGCACCAACAGAUGCAGUCUCAGAUCUCAUUUGAGAAAAUUUGGCUUGAAUUUGUUCCUAUUAAAGGAAUAAAUAUUAUUAGCAAACAAUGAGCUUUGAAAACCGACAAUGUAUAAUGAGAUAGAGUUAGUAGAUACAUACAUGGGUCCGCCUAGACCUUUCAUCUACAAAGUCCCCUGUUGAUUGACGGAUGUGUGUUUGUUGAAAUAUUUCAUCAACAUGAACAGACCUUCCAAGUUCCUGUGACUGCAAACAAUAUGAGUUGUUAAAAAAUAUUUGUAAAGUUUAUGAUUACAAAUUUAAUAAAUGAAAUGUACAAGUAUAAUCUAAUACAAUGGCAACCCUAAGCAAGCAAAAACCAACACUAAUGAAUACAAGUAUAAUCUAAUACAAAAAGAUAAUCAAAUUUUAUAAUGACAAUUUUUUUAACCAAGUUCAAAACCAUAUCUUAGUCAAACAAAUUGAACAAAAAGUAAAAAAUAGGAAGAGCACAUUGAACUAAAAUCAUAUAUUUUAUUAGUGAAAACCAGAACACAUCCUCUAAUUCGUCUUCUGCUUUUAAACAAAGUAGGUUGCUAACUUGAAAAUCAAUUUCAUGGAGGAAGAGGUAGAAGAGAAUGUGCUAGGAGAUUUAAUCAAAUACGUUUACAACCUUUAUUAGUAAUACUCAUCUAUAUUUAUAUAUAUUAUAUAUUACUAUGAAAUGGUUUAAUUUGUAAUAAUACUGGAAUAAGAAAAAGAAGUGAGCUGGAAGGUGGUUUAAUUUGACUUGGUAAAGUAACACUGUUAGUUUGAUGAGUACAUAGUAGGUACUGGUUUUGCUAGCUAAUGGGUAUUGUUAUAUAUGGUGAACGAAAGCAAGAGACAGACAAAGUGGUUCAACUGAGUCUAUGGCUGACUGACACCCUCAACAGUCGUGUUCAUAAUUUAGAAACAAGGUUGUGGAGCAGAAACAAGGCAUGACAUGUCUCGUGUGAGCACCAGUAGCUGUAGCAGUACCCAUCAAAAAAUAAUUCAAAAAGGAGUGAACAAAAUAACAAAUAAGCAAGCACCCAUGUCAUACAAUUGUUUGAUUCCCACCAAACCGAGCAAGAGAGGAAAUUAAAAACACCUUUUUGUGGUUCCUUCGGCCUUCGUACCACCAACUUCAAUGUCUCAGCUUAAACCGCAAUAAACCAACCUCAAUUGAUGCCUCGUCAAAAUCCAACUACGUCUUGGCACACGAACCAAAAAUGGGCCAAUUAAAAUAAAAUUAACACAGAUUAAGGUUCAAUUUUAAAGAUUUCUAGGCAUUGCAGAUUAUCAGAAAAAUGAUUUAGGGCUCGACAGAAUAACUAUUUAGGGCUCGACAAAACAAUUAUUUAGGGCUCGAGAGAAGAAUGAUUGAGGGCACCUACCGUUCGACAGAAGAGGCGUUAAGUAGACCGACAGCUGCACAAAAGAGAGGACCGACAGCUCGCCACCAGAGAAGUCGACAGUUGCAGAGAAGACAGCUUCGAGAGGAGACGUGACUGAAGCUUCGACACCACAACACACUGAAGGUGACAGUGUUUGAUAUUCAGAGAGAGCGAACAGAGGUGACAGUGUUUCUAGAGAUGAAGGUUCGAGAUGGACAACGCGAGAGAGAAAAGAGAGAUCGAGAUGAGGGUUCGAGAAAGAGGGUAAAAUGCAAACCGAGUCAGCUCCAGCAGUCAAUUAACCCAAAAAUCAUUUUUUUAAAUAAAUUAUUUUCCAUACCCGUAUAUAAUAUCUGUAGUUAAAGACCUCUUUCAAACUACAUACGGAUAAUAUAUAUUAUAUACGGAUACAUCCUUGGGUAAUUUUGCCGCCACCAUGCGCCAAAGUUAAAUACGGAUAUUAUAUAUAGAUUUUUUCGUAUAUAAAAUUCCGUACAUAAAAACCGUAUAUAACUCCUUUUCUGAUAUCCGUACAUAAUUUCCGUAUAUAAAAGUUAUCUUCUAUACGGAUUUAAAUCCGUAUAUAUAUUUCUGUAUGUAAUUCGACUUUUUCUUGUAGUGUUAUACCCUUUGAAAUCUGUUGUUUACCCUCAUCAAUAUAGAGCCGAGUUAGGUUUAAGACAAAGUUAAAAUCAAAUCGAUUUACAUAGAAUGAAGUCUCUUUAAGUUAAAGUUUUAGUUCAUUCAGUCCAAAAAAAACUUAUCCGGAUUCACUUCAGUUAAAGGUCGAUUUGAGAUGGUUGAAUUCAUGUUUAAUGAAUCUUAUAAUUAAGUAAAUUAAAUGAAUUUACUAAAUUUAGUCUAAAAUGAAUUCAAUUUAAAUUUAAUCUAAUUUAAAUUAGAUUAAAACAAAUUCAAUUCUAAUUAAUAUAUUUAAAAAGGAUUUUGUAUGUAUAUGGAGUAUGUCUUGUUAGAAGAAUGAGUUGUUCGGUCUAGUAAGUCGUUUUGUCUACGGUGGGCCAUAAUUGGGUUAGUGUUUAAGUAAUUGGUAUUAGGUCGUAAUAGGACCAACGCUUCAAAUAUGGUUAAUGGACUAAUAAUUUAAGUGGAUCAAUAACUUGAUUGUUAGCAAAAUAAUAACAAAAUGAUUCAAGAUAUUGAUAAGUGAUAACGGUUUCUAAACAACAAACCGAGAAAAAGCUAAGUUAGUAUUAUAUUGAUUUAUCAAGUGCCCUAUAAAACAAAACUAAAGCACAAAGGUACACACUUUUGACUAUACACUGAAUAUUCAAUUGUGAGCAUAAGCUCUUUGAAACCACGCCUAACUUGAGUGUCGGAGUGCCUUUUGCAGGUGCUUACCCCCGGUCUAAAGGUGAAGGAAGCGAAACAAGUUAUCCAAGCAUCGAAAAGUAAGAAGGCCAAGUCAGAAAGGUACAUCUCUUAUCCCUACACAUAUCCCUACAGAAACAUUUUGGCACCCACUAUGGGACCGAGAUAAGCUGAAGAAACCCAAUGGUGACCACAAGAAAUAUGGAGGAGCAACAAAGCACCAGAGAGAUGAUCAGAAAUAUGUAGGCGCAGAUGCAGGCGCAGGCGCAAGCAUAAUUGGAGAUGUAGCGGAAGCAUGAAGAGGAGAUUGUGGCACUAAGGGCGGAACGAGCUCAUCAUGAGUAGUCUGCUCAACAUUCAAUGUCGAACCAUGAGAAAGGCCACGAGAUAAGCCACAAUCAAUAGUUGUCCCAUCACACCAACCUAAACAGGCGUAAUCAACAUCCCAUCACACUAAUCCAAACGACCAAGGAAGAAGGGAAGCAAAUAUCAGGAUUACACCCACACCUCUACAAGUUGUACGACCUACCAGUCUAGUCCAUUCAUGACGGCUAUCAUGUAGACUCCUAUGCCGGAAAAAACUCCUCCUGUAUUAGAGAAAUAUGAUGGCUCGACCGAUCUAGAUGAUCAUUUCAAGAUAUUUGUUAACGCAAUGGCAUUCUACUUGGAUAACGACCCGAUUAUGUGUAAACCUUUUUCACUAUCACUCAAAGGAGAAGCAUUAGAAUGGUACAACACAUUUCCCCCAAACACAGUGUAUUGCUUUGCUACUGUGGAAGAUCUUUUUGGAAAACAGUAUGCAUCCAACCGGGUACAGGAGUUCACACGUGCGGAGUUGGUGAAUACUAAACAGGAGAAGGAGGAAACCUUGAAGGCCUUUAUGAAAAAGGUAUAAUGAGACCGCACGACGAGAUAAGGGCAUAAAUCACACUUUUAUCAUCAGCAAUCUACCUUCAUGCUUAAAAGCAGGAUAUUUUGCUGAAAACUUAUAUGCACGACUACCUAAAACUAUGAACGAACUCCAGGAAAGAGUUUCCUAGUUCAUUCGCAUUGAAGAUAUAAGGAACUCAAGGAAGACACAACAACAAGAAGCUUCUACAGGUGGGAGCAAGAAAGAAGGAAAGCGAUCGUUCAACAAUAACGACAAAAAUGGAUGUCCUCGUCAGAAGGAUUUUAUUCAGAAUCCAGGUUUAAUCAUUAUACCACCCUUAAUGCACCCAGGGCAAAAGUUCUCGAGGAAGCCCUUAAUGCCAAACUUCUUACAGUUCGAAAGAGUAUACUCCAAGAAACGUCGACAAAAGAAAAAACUGAUGGUUUCACAUGAACUAUGGCCAUAAUACAAACGAAUGCGAUGUAUUGAAGGAUGAAAUAGAAAGACUCGUUCGGGCAGGCCAUCUCCAAAAGUAUGUAAAAGAAGAGGGAGCCCAAACAAGAAGCUCCCCUAGAGAAAAAUCUCUGCGUAGAAGUCCCGAACAGUCGUAUCAAAGGGACGACCAGAGUCAAAGGCACAACCGUAGUCGUAGUUGUGGUCAUGAACACGAACGUUCGAUUUGGGGGCAUAUAAAUACUAUAUCAGGAGACUUUGAAGGAGGAGGGGCAUCAUCUUCAGCCCGCAGAAAGCACCUAAUGAGUUUGAAAAUUGUUCAUAUGGUAGAUAGACAACCUUGAUAUACGCCACCUAUUACCUUUACUGACACAGACUUCCAUGCUUCUGACCCUAAUCAAGAUGAUUCCAUGGUCAUCACAACCGAGAUAUUAUAGUGUUGGUAAGGUGCUGAUUGACCAAGGCAGUUCGGUCAACAUCUUAUACUAGGCAAUAUUCCUGAAAAUGGAUUUAUAUGAAGAUAUAAUAACCUCAUUUAAUGAACAGAUAAUGGGGUUCAUAGGAGAAAGAGUCGAUACUCGAGGAUAUUUAGACUUGAGGACCCGACUUGGAACAGGCAGAGAGGCAAAAGAACUUAGAAUAAGGUUCUUACUAGUAGAAGCAAAUACUUCGUAUAAUGUCUUAUUGGGAUAACCUUGUUUGGACGCUUUCGGAGCCGUGGUGUCCACUCCUCAUUUGACCAUGAAAUUUCCAUCGAACAAAGGAACUGUAUGUACCAUGCAACCAGAUCGACGAACAACACGAAAUGUUAUGUUGCUAGCCUAAAAGUCACACCUUUUAGUCAGGCCAAAAAGAGCAGAGGAGCAGAAGCUAUUACGGUCGAUCUCAAUCCACAAACAAACACUGAUGACCACAUCCAACCCCAAGGAGAUAUCAAAUUGUUUGUGCUCGAAAAAAUGAGAAAUAACGUCUAUAGGAGGAAGGCUGGAAAAAGUCGAUGAGAAAAAUUUAGCAAAAAAUUUGAAAGUCAACGUAGAUUUGUUCGCUUGGGUUGCCUUAGAUAUGCCCAGAAUUCAUUCGAGCGUCAUGACAAACAAACUGGACAUAGUCAAAGAAGCACGCGCGGUUGCUUAGAAGAAACGAAGGUUCGACGGAGAAAAUCGAUUGACCAGCCGGGAAGGUGUUGAUUGACCAACCGGGAAGUUUUUAGGAUUCAUGUUAACUUCUCGAGGAAUUGAGGCCAAUCCAGAUAAAUGUCAAAUGGUCUUGGAAGUGAGGAGUCCUACCAAUUUAAAGGAAAGACAACGCUAUGUUGGCAGACUGACAUCUCUGUCAUGUUUUAUUACGCGACUUGCAGAGCAUAUUAAACCAAUUCUUAAGAAUAUGAAGAAAGGGAUCACCCAACAAUGGGACGACCAGUGUGAAAUGACCUUUGGCAAAGUCAAAGAUAUCCUGACUAAUCCAUCUAUCAUGGCACGUCCAGUACAAGGGCAUGAUUUGUAGUUGUACAUGGCUACAUCAAACAACACGAUCACUGCAGCCCUCAUUCAAGAAACUCCUUAUUUCAUAUUGGUUUACUUCGUUAGCAGAACAUUACAAGGAGCGGAAGAAUGAUAUUCCCAAAUAAAGAAGGUGGCCUUAGCCUUACUCACAGCGGCCCAACGUCUCCGACUAUAUUUUCAAAGCCACAAAGUGGUGGUAAGCACAAAUCACUCGUCGCAAGCAAAGAAUUCUUCGGUUCAGAUAUCAGGGACACCCACCCUUUUUGGCAUUCAGUCGGGUGCGAAAAUGAUAAAGGAAUAUAACCAGAGUAAGGGUUAUUCGAAUGACCUGACACACUAUAGCAAAAGCUUCAAUAUAACCCCAACUAUUGGGAUGUAGUUGGGAGGGCGUCGUAUUCAACACCUUUAAUACUCCCAUUUGAAAAGAAUUAAAGGGCAUUUGAAUAUACAUUUCACGAAACAUGUAAGUAUAGGUGAAAAAGAGGUCAUGCGGAUGAUUUUCUUUCCCAUGAAAUACUCGUUCAUUAUCUUUACAAGCAGAUAAUUUAAUCAGGGAACUACAAUCCAAGGUUCUCAAUACACAAUUGUUUUCUACCCAUCUUUUUAAUUCUACCCUACUGGAAAAUAAGCUAUUAUACUCACUAACAUCGUGAGAGGCCCAAUCAUAUCCACUGAUGUUGGGCAAAGAUUAGGAUGAACUUUCCUCCUCCACAAGAACCUCAACCAGGACAUUACCGUAAACGAAAGCGCUAUCAUUGCUGAGUAAGGUUUCCGCAUUACUAGUUUCCAUGGGUGGCGCUACUUCUAUGGUGGCAGGUGGGCCGUUGUCGUUGCCUCGCCUUUCUCCUCCCAUGGGUUCAAAUGGAGAAGAUGAGAUUAUAGUAAGGUUCAUGAUUACCUGAGGUGUGCAGAGAAAAAGCUUUGAUGGUUGUCGUAGGAAAAUGACGGUUAGGAAAUCGAAAUGAUUUCGAAAUGCCUUUUACAUUUAUGAGGGGUAACUCACGCGGCUGAAAACAAUAUGAGCCGUAGGAUCCUGUUUAAUCUUGCGGUCUAUCUCGUGAGACUCUGCAACUGCUUUAAAGGCGAGAAAUCCAAAUAAUCAUCUGAAGGCACUAGGUCCUCAUCCGACGAUGUACAAUAACAAGCCCUGAUCCGAACGUUUAUCAUAAGUCCUAUAGUUAACCUUUCUUGAAGGCCGAAUUGUUAACUCAGAUUUGGGAGGAAUAUGUAUGGUAUAUGGUGUAUGCCGAGUGGUUAGAAGAAUGAGUGUUUCGAUCUCAUAAGUCAUUUUGUCUACGGCGGGCCCUAAUUGGGCUAGCGUUUGAGUUAUUAGUAUUGGGUCAUAACAGGACCAACACUUGAAUUAUGGUUAAUGGGCUAAUAAUUUAAGUGGGCAAAUAACCUGACUGUUAGCAAAAUAAUAAUAUAAUGAUUCAAGAUAUUGAUAAGUGAUAACGAUUUCUGAACAACAAACCAAGAAAAAGGUAAGUUAGUAUUAUAUUGAUUUAUCAGGUGUCCUAUAAAUACAGAACUAAAGCACAAAGGUACACACUUUUGACUAUACACUGAAUAUUCAAUUGUGAGCAGAAACUCUUUGAACCCACUCAUAACUCACUAGUACAAAAAUCAUAUUUUAUGACGUACAAAAACGAACUAUGACGUACAUAUGUACCUCAUAAUAGGUCUAUAAGUAACAAAAAUUUACGUCAUGAUAGCCUGAACAUAUUAUGACAGUUUCUAAAAUCAGUCUAUUUUUUUUAUAAGAAUAUGGGAAAAAAUUGUUUCGAAUUGAUAUUGAGUAAAAUUAUCUAUGUUUACAUUCAUUAGAGUUAUUUCUUUUUUUUAUAGACUUCUUGACAUUCUUUCUUCUUUGGAGGCAACACAAAUUUUAAGUUGACAUCCACAAAAAACGACAAUAAAAUCUAACAAAUUAUGACGCAAACAAAUGACACAAAGGUCAGAGAGCAAGAAAGACACUUCAGGUACAUCUCUUAGCCCUACACAUAUCCCUACAUAAAAAUAUUUAAAUUAUAAAUUCAUUACUUUUUAUUUAUUAGAUUGGAUUAGACUAGAUUUUUAAAAAUAUAUUCCAUGUCGUUUAUUAAUAAAGCAAACACUCUCACACAUUCCAUGAAAUUUCAUAUAUUUCUGAUUCUUGUUUCUUAUCAAUUCUUCUUUUUAUUCUAGUCGCAUUUUCUUACAAAUCAUUAAUUGAUAAGGGAAAAUACGCAUUGCGACCUUGUUUGCUCAAUAACAUGCUUUGAAGAAAUGCAUCGACAUAACUUUAGUAUUCAAGGAUAGAUCUGAAUAAGAGACAAACAUCCUGUGAAAGAAGAUAUUUUGUAGCUCUGAAAUCCUGCUUCCAUCACGAGUUUCUUCCAUUCUUCUUCAGUUCUCUCUUUUCCAUUAUUAAGACAUGUCAUUUGCACAUCCAUGAGUAGCUUUACUCCGGUAAGUCCCUGCUCAUCUUGGCCUUCGUUUAUCACAGCUUCUAUCACAAUUACUUUUCCUCUUUCUCCUUUACCAGAAAUAGCUUCUUUGCAAUUUUCUAAUAUCUUCUUACAAUCCUCGUCAUUCCAAUCAUGCAAAAUCCACUAAAAAUAAUUAUAUAUUUGUUAAUAACAUACCUCAUGUCAAUACUAGAAUUGUAAUAAAAUGAUUAGAAUAUUAAAUUCGUAUUCUAAUUUAUUAAAAAACAGUAGUGAAAGAAGUUUAGGAAACGUGAUACCUACCUUGAGUAGAACUGCAUCAGCCUUGGGAAUAGAUUCGAACAUGUCACCGCCAACAUAUGUCAAAUUCUUGGUUCCCGACAACUUCUCCACAACCUGUGGACGAUCAAAGACAGUGCACUUCACGUUAGGAAAUGCAUGACAGAUAGCCUUGGCUGUGUUUCCGGUUCCACCUCCGACAUCCACAAUGGUCUCCACUCCUUCGAACACCCAUUUGCAACCUCUUAAUGCCAGGUUUAUCAUCUGAGAAUCGCUAGCCAUUGCCUCAUUGAACGAUUCGUUCAUUGCUGGGUUUUUACUAAGAAUGUCCCAGAAAUUUGAUCCAAGGGAGACAUCAUACAGUGUAAGAUCGUCCUCAUAAGUCCACUUCUUCAAGUGAGACCAUACGUGUGCCAUACUUGGGUUAAUAAAAGCCUCUACCAUUGGUGCAAGACAAAGGUCAGUGCCUUUGACAAGAAGCUGUGAUGCAGGUGUUAGAGAAAAUGCUUCGUUUUCUUCUGUGUUGUGAUGGAGUCUUACAAUCUGAAGGAAUCCAUUGUGUGCCAGGUAGCGUAGGAGACUCUUCACGCCUCUAACUUUACUUGGCGGAAUUUGUAGAAUGGACACCAACUUUGGAAGUGAAAUAGGUUGACCAUGGUUGUGGAUGAUGUCUG
RNAcentral lists this long non-coding RNA (42289 nucleotides) under Vigna radiata. Its description in RNAcentral is "long non-coding RNA (VRAD_LNC003196)". The record is from RNAcentral. Lineage: Eukaryota; Viridiplantae; Streptophyta; Magnoliopsida; Fabales; Fabaceae.